AGAGUUUGAUCAUGGCUCAGGAUGAACGCUGGCGGCCGUGCUUAACACAUGCAAGUCGAACGAUCCUUCGGGAUAGUGGCGCACGGGUGAGGAACACGUAGCUAACCUGCCUCAGAGUACAGAAUAACUCCUCGAAAGAGGCGCUAAUACUGUAUAAGCUCACGAGUUGUAGAUACUAGUGAGAAAAGAUUUAUCGCUUUGAGAGGGGGCUGCGGCCCAUCAGCUAGAUGGCGAGGUAACGGCUCACCAUGGCAACGACGGGUAGGGGGUCUGAGAGGAUGAUCCCCCACACUGGGACUGAGACACGGCCCAGACUCCUACGGGAGGCAGCAGUGAGGAAUAUUGCACAAUGGGGGAAACCCUGAUGCAGCGACGCCGCGUGGGUGAUGAAGGCCUUCGGGUCGUAAAGCCCUUUUCUGUGUGACGAGCAAGGACGGUAGCACAGGAAUAAGCCUCGGCUAACUACGUGCCAGCAGCCGCGGUAAAACGUAGGAGGCGAGCGUUAUCCGGAGUUACUGGGCGUAAAGCGCAUGUAGGCGGUUGGAUAAGUUGCGUGUGAAAGCUCCCGGCUAAACUGGGAGAGGACAGGCAAGACUGUUCGGCUUGAGGGUGGUAGAGGGGUACAGAAUUCGGGGUGUAGCGGUGAAAUGUGUAGAGAUCCCGAGGAAUACCAGUGGUGAAGACGGUGCCCUGGGCCAUACCUGACGCUGAGAUGCGAAAGCGUGGGGAGCGAACGGGAUUAGAGACCCCGGUAGUCCACGCCGUAAACGAUGCUGAUCUAGGUGUUCACCAGGCGACCAGUCUGGGGAGUGCCGAAGCUAACCGCGAUAAGUCAGCCGCCUG
RNAcentral lists this ribosomal RNA (843 nucleotides) under uncultured bacterium. RNAcentral's name for it is "bacterial SSU rRNA". It matches the Rfam family "Bacterial small subunit ribosomal RNA", at positions 9 to 873 of the family's 1533-position model. The record is from RNAcentral.